RNAcentral lists this transfer RNA (65 nucleotides) under Culaea inconstans (brook stickleback). RNAcentral's name for it is "tRNA-Cys". Lineage: Eukaryota; Metazoa; Chordata; Actinopteri; Perciformes; Gasterosteidae. The record is from RNAcentral.
GGCCCUAGGGUGUAACACAUUAGAUUGCAAAUCUUAAGAAGCAGACUUACUCCCUGCUGGGGCUU